AUUGAACGCUGGCGGCAUGCCUUACACAUGCAAGUCGAACGGUAACGCGGGGCAACCUGGCGACGAGUGGCGAACGGGUGAGUAAUGCAUCGGAACGUGCCCAGUAGUGGGGGAUAGCCCGGCGAAAGCCGGAUUAAUACCGCAUACGACCUAAGGGUGAAAGCGGGGGAUCGCAAGACCUCGCGCUAUUGGAGCGGCCGAUGUCAGAUUAGGUUGUUGGUGGGGUAAAAGCCUACCAAGCCGACGAUCUGUAGCUGGUCUGAGAGGACGACCAGCCACACUGGGACUGAGACACGGCCCAGACUCCUACGGGAGGCAGCAGUGGGGAAUUUUGGACAAUGGGGGCAACCCUGAUCCAGCCAUGCCGCGUGCGGGAAGAAGGCCUUCGGGUUGUAAACCGCUUUUGUCAGGGAAGAAACGAUCUGGGCUAAUACCCCGGGGUAAUGACGGUACCUGAAGAAUAAGCACCGGCUAACUACGUGCCAGCAGCCGCGGUAA
This 498-nucleotide ribosomal RNA is filed under the name uncultured bacterium. RNAcentral describes it as "partial 16S ribosomal RNA". It matches the Rfam family "Bacterial small subunit ribosomal RNA", at positions 29 to 523 of the family's 1533-position model. The record is from RNAcentral.